GGGUUUAUUGCAAGGCAUAAAACCAGUGUCUGACAAUGCCUGCCAGGAUGGGCACUGAUGAAUAUGGUUGAACGGAACUCCAAGGACCACCCAGGUUGAUAGUAGUGAGCAACGAGGUGCACUGAGCACUUGUCGGGGCUGUGUUUGGAGCCCAUCAACAGUGCUACCAGCUUUAGUUCCAUCAACCCCAGGCUUUUGUAACAACUGGUUGCAUGAAACCCUCCCUUGUAGUUUGUGUACAGAAGACUGCAAUGAAUUGAAGUCAUGAGACAUACAGCCAGGAUCCUGAAAGCCACCAACAUAUGUCACCUGCCUGGGAGGCUUGCUUCGAUGGUCAUCUUGUUCUGCCUGCUAAGACCAGGAGUCACAGCUGUUGACAUCAUGGUGAAUAAAAACAUUUUCUGCCACAGGU
This is a long non-coding RNA of Homo sapiens (human), 412 nucleotides long. The record is from Ensembl. Lineage: Eukaryota; Metazoa; Chordata; Mammalia; Primates; Hominidae.